This 870-nucleotide ribosomal RNA is filed under the name Fastosarion aquavitae. RNAcentral's name for it is "partial 16S large subunit ribosomal RNA". The record is from RNAcentral. Lineage: Eukaryota; Metazoa; Mollusca; Gastropoda; Stylommatophora; Helicarionidae.
UAUUACUUACUGUAAAGAAAUAAAUAUUAAGAUUUAAUAUUUUACCUUUUGCAUAAUGGUUUAAUAAUAUAUUAAAAUAUUUUAAACCCGAAAUUAGAAGAUCUAACUUAAGUAUAUUUUUAGAGAUAAUUAUAAUAAUGUUUCAAAAUUAUAUAAAUAACUAAAGUUAGGGGUGAAAGGCCUACCAAUUCUAAAGAUAUCUGGAAUAGUUUUAAAUGUAUUUAGUACAAAAUAAAAUUUGAGUAAAAAAAUGUUAAGAUUUUUUUAAUAUAGGAUAAUUAUUUGUGUAUAUAUAUGAAUUAAUCUUCCUACAUAAUAAUAUUUAUAUAAUUUAUUAUUUAUUUAUCUAUAUAUUAAAAUUACAUUAUUAAUAAUUUUUUAUUAAAUUGACUAUGUUAAAAUUAGUAUAACAAUUUUAUCUAUUUAAGGAACUCGGCAAACUACUAUUCAUCUGUUUAUCAAAAACAUAGUCUUAUGUCUUAAUAUAAGAUAAAACCUGCCCAGUGAUAUAUUUAACGGCCGCAGUACCUUGACUGUGCUAAGGUAGCAUAAUAAAUUGACUCUUAAUUAGGGCCUUGAAUGAAUGGAUAUAUGGAUAGUUUCUGUCUCAAGUAAAUUUGUUUUAAAUUACUUAAAAGGUGAAAAUUCCUUUAAUGAAUAAAUUAGACGAGAAGACCCUAGGAGUUUUAAAUUUUGUUGGGGCGACAAUAUAGCAUAUAACCUAUAUAAUAAUAUAAGUAAUAUAACGAAUAAUAUUAAUAAUAAAUAAACUACCCUAGGGAUAACAGCAUAAUUUAUUUUAAGUUUGUGACCUCGAUGUUGGACUAGGAACUUUUAAUAUUAACAGUAUUAAUUGACAGUUCUGUUCGA